UACGUAGGGGGCGAGCGUUGUCCGGAUUCACUGGGCGUAAAGCGCGCGUAGGCGGCUCGUUAAGUCGGAUGUGAAAACCCGGGGCUCAACCCCGGGCCUGCACCCGAUACUGGCGGGCUGGAGGCAGGUAGGGGAGAUCGGAAUUCCCGGUGUAGCGGUGAAAUGCGCAGAUAUCGGGAGGAACACCGGUGGCGAAGGCGGAUCUCUGGGCCUGUCCUGACGCUCAGGCGCGAAAGCUAGGGGAGCAAACAGG
RNAcentral lists this ribosomal RNA (253 nucleotides) under uncultured bacterium. RNAcentral describes it as "partial 16S ribosomal RNA". It matches the Rfam family "Bacterial small subunit ribosomal RNA", at positions 524 to 776 of the family's 1533-position model. The record is from RNAcentral.